AGCGCGUUGGUCUAACGGUAGGGCACCGGUCUCUCAAAUCGGUGGCACGGGUUCGACUCCCGUACGCGCUA
Molecule: transfer RNA, 71 nt
Filed under: Kutzneria buriramensis
Lineage: Bacteria; Bacillati; Actinomycetota; Actinomycetes; Pseudonocardiales; Pseudonocardiaceae
Description: tRNA-Glu
Rfam family: tRNA
About the family: Transfer RNA (tRNA) molecules are approximately 80 nucleotides in length. Their secondary structure includes four short double-helical elements and three loops (D, anti-codon, and T loops).
Source: RNAcentral